UGAUGGCGGCCGUGACGUUGGACGAGUCCGGGGGCGGCCUCCAGACGCCCGGAGGAGGGCUCAGCCUCGUCUGCAAGGCCUCCGGGUUCACCUUCAUCCAUUUCUGGAUGAACUGGGUGCGACAGGCGCCCGGCAAGGGGUUGGAAUUCAUCGCCAGUAUUAGCAACACUGGUAGUUACACAGCAUACGGGGCGGCGGUGAAGGGCCGUGCCACCAUCUCGAGGGACGACGGGCAGAGCACAGUGAGGCUGCAGCUGAACAACCUCAGGGCUGAGGACACCGGCACCUAUUACUGUGCCAGAGAUUUUGGUUCUGGUGUUGGUGAGAUCGACAGCAUCGCACAUUUUCCUGCUCCCACCCACCCCCACAUGUCCCACACCUCGCCCACCACUGACAGAACCCAUCCCAGAAUGUGCUGAGCUGUGGCCCACAUU
Non-coding RNA from Gallus gallus (chicken), 434 nucleotides. NCBI's taxonomy places the organism in Eukaryota, Metazoa, Chordata, Aves, Galliformes, Phasianidae. The record is from the annotation of a RefSeq genome assembly.